Molecule: ribosomal RNA, 217 nt
Filed under: uncultured bacterium
Lineage: Bacteria
Description: partial 16S ribosomal RNA
Rfam family: Bacterial small subunit ribosomal RNA
Source: RNAcentral
UACAUCGGAACGUACCUCGUAGUGGGGGAUAACUCGGCGAAAGCCGCGCUAAUACCGCAUAUGCUCUACGGAGGAAAGCAGGGGACCGCAAGGCCUUGUGCUAUGGGAGCGGCCGAUGUCCGAUUAGCUAGUUGGUGGGGUAAUGGCCCACCAAGGCGACGAUCGGUAGCUGGUCUGAGAGGAUGAUCAGCCACACUGGGACUGAGACACGGCCCAG